RNAcentral lists this ribosomal RNA (420 nucleotides) under Escherichia coli. Its description in RNAcentral is "partial 23S ribosomal RNA". It matches the Rfam family "Bacterial large subunit ribosomal RNA", at positions 1 to 451 of the family's 2925-position model. Lineage: Bacteria; Pseudomonadati; Pseudomonadota; Gammaproteobacteria; Enterobacterales; Enterobacteriaceae. The record is from RNAcentral.
GGGUUGUGAGGUUAAGCGACUAAGCGUACACGGUGGAUGCCCUGGCAGUCAGAGGCGAUGAAGGACGUGCUAAUCUGCGAUAAGCGUCGGUGAGGUGAUAUGAACCGUUAUAACCGGCGAUUUCCGAAUGGGGAAACCCAGUGUGUUUCGACACACUAUCAUUAACUGAAUCCAUAGGUUAAUGAGGCGAACCGGGGGAACUGAAACAUCUAAGUACCCCGAGGAAAAGAAAUCAACCGAGAUUCCCCCAGUAGCGGCGAGCGAACGGGGAGGAGCCCAGAGCCUGAAUCAGUGUGUGUGUUAGUGGAAGCGUCUGGAAAGGCGCGCGAUACAGGGUGACAGCCCCGUACACAAAAAUGCACAUAUUGUGAGCUCGAUGAGUAGGGCGGGACACGUGGUAUCCUGUCUGAAUAUGGGGGG